AUAUUCUGCUUGUGGACAAGAUGGAGGUGUACAACUCCCAAGAAAAUAUGUUGAAGAGGGUGUUGCACAUGCGGAUUUGGUUCUUCUUGUGACUACAAGGCCAACAACCGGCAACACUCUUGCAUGGGCUGUAGCAUGUGAGCGUGAUCAAUGGGGUCGUGCUGUUGCUGGGCAUGUGAAUGUAGCUCCUCGGCAUUUAACUGCUGAAGCGGAAACCUUACUUCAAGCUACUUUGAUACAUGAAGUAAUGCACGUUCUUGGAUUUGAUCCUCAUGCCUUUGCUCAUUUUCGUGAUGAGAGAAAACGUAGGCGAAGUCAGGUUACUGAACUGGUAAUGGAUGAAAAACUUGGAAGAAUGGUUACUCGAGUAGUGCUUCCUCGAGUUAUCAUGCAUGCUCGCCAUCACUAUGGGGCAUUCUCUGAGAAUUUCACUGGACUUGAGCUGGAAGAUGGAGGCGGACGUGGUACAUCAGGUUCUCAUUGGGAGAAAAGGCUAUUGAUGAACGAGAUCAUGACUGGGUCAGUAGAUACAAGAUCAGUGGUUUCAAAAAUGACUCUUGCUUUACUUGAGGACAGUGGAUGGUACCGGGCUAAUUACAGCAUGGCUGACCGUCUUGAUUGGGGACGCAACCAAGGACCAGAUUUCGUUACCUUCCCCUGCAAUCACUGGAAGGGAGCCUAUCAUUGUAACACUACCCAGUUAUCUGGAUGUACAUUUAACAGGGAGGCUGAAGGUUAUUGUCCAAUAAUGAAUUAUAGUGGGGAUCUCCCUCAAUGGGCUCGUUAUUUUCCACAGGCUAACAAAGGUGGUCAGUCAUCAUUGGCAGAUUAUUGCACUUAUUUUGUUGCUUACUCUGAUGGAUCUUGUACGGACACGAAUGGUGCUCGAGCACCUGAUAGGAUGUUAGGUGAAGUGAGGGGAAGUAGUUCAAGGUGCAUGUCUUCUUCUCUAGUGCGUUCUGGAUUUGUACGUGGCUCAAUGGCCCAAGGCAAUGGUUGUUAUCAGCAUAGGUGCUCAAACAAUUCGUUAGAGGUAGCAGUAGAUGGCAUUUGGAGAGUUUGUCCAAAAGCUGGUGGUCCUAUCCAGUUUCCUGGCUUUAAUGGUGAGCUCGUCUGCCCAGCUUACCACGAACUAUGCGAUGUGAAUCCAGCUUUGUUGUCUAGUCAAUGUCCCAAUUCAUGCAAUUUCAACGGAGAUUGCUUAGGUGGAAAAUGUAGAUGCUUUAUUGGGUUUGGUGGUCAUGAUUGUAGCAAACGCUCAUGUCCUGGCAGUUGUGGUGGACAUGGAAAGUGUCUUGGGAAUGGUGUAUGUGAAUGUGAUAACGGGUAUACUGGCGUUGAUUGUUCCACAGCUGUUUGCGAUGAGCAGUGCAGUCUUCACGGUGGGGUCUGUGACAAUGGAGUCUGUGAGUUCCGUUGUUCUGACUAUGCUGGUUACACGUGCCAGAAUAGCUCCACGCUUCUUCCUAGUCUCUCUGUUUGCAAAGAUGUGCUUCAAAAUGAUGUAUCAGGACAACACUGUGCACCUAGCGAGUUAAGUAUCUUGCAGCAGCUGGAAGAAGUAGUGGUGAUGCCCAACUACAACCGACUAUUCCCAGCUGGUCCUCGAAAGAUUUUGAACAUUUUCAGGGGUAGAGAUUGUGAUGGAGCUGCUAAACGACUAGCCUGCUGGAUCUCAAUCCAAAAAUGUGACAAGGAUGGGGACAACCGUCUACGAGUAUGUCAUUCAGCUUGCCAAUCGUAUAACGUGGCAUGUGGAGCAUCACUUGAUUGCUCGGACCAAACACUAUUUAGUAAUGAACACGAGGGUCAAGGUCUUUGCACAGGUUGGGGCGAAUUGGACGCUUGGUUUUAGAAGAGCCAAACUAUAGAAAAUGAAUUUGGUGUACAUUGUAGGUAGUUUUAGGUCUUCUUUUUUCGUUUUCAUUGGCCUACUUGUAAUGUGUUGUAAGCUUUUUUUUCUCUCUUUGGGGUAGGAGGAAAAUGUGUGCGCGAAGCGCUCAUAAAUUUAGCGUUUUUUUUUCUCUCAUCCCAAAUGUUCAUUUGCUAAAAGAUUUGGGAUGGGAAAUUAACUUGAGAUUUUGGCUUUCAAAGAUGAAAGUCUUGAUGUAGAGGAAAUGUAAUCAAAGAAAAAAAAAGGAUAAGAGUAAAAUGAAUUGGCCUA
Molecule: unclassified non-coding RNA, 2164 nt
Filed under: Hevea brasiliensis (rubber tree)
Lineage: Eukaryota; Viridiplantae; Streptophyta; Magnoliopsida; Malpighiales; Euphorbiaceae
Source: RNAcentral